RNAcentral lists this ribosomal RNA (2445 nucleotides) under human gut metagenome. RNAcentral describes it as "bacterial LSU rRNA". It matches the Rfam family "Bacterial large subunit ribosomal RNA", at positions 3 to 2471 of the family's 2925-position model. The record is from RNAcentral.
UUAAGUAAGGAAGGGCGUACGGCGAAUGCCUUGCCACUCGAAACUGAAGAAGGACGCGCCAAACUGCGAAAAGCUCCGUGAAGCUGUAAGGAAGCGAAGAAGCGGAGGUGUCCGAAUGGGGGAACCCGGCAGCAGACAUGAGCUGUCAUCUGCAGGUGAAUACAUGGCCUGCAAGAGAGGUACCCGGCGAACUGAAACAUCUAAGUAGCCGGAGGAAAAGAAAACAACAGUGAUUCCCUGAGUAGCGGCGAGCGAAAGGGGAGAAGCCCAAACCGGUUGAAGGACCGGGGUUGAAGGACCAUGACAUGGCAAGAACGAGGAUAGGAGAACGGGAUCGAAAGCCCGGCCGAAGAAGGUGAAAGCCCUGUAACCGAAAUCCGAGUAAAGCCUAAUGGGAUCCUGAGUACGGCGAGACACGAGAAAUCUUGUCGGAAGCAGGCGGGACCAUCCGCCAAGGCUAAAUAUAAACGAGUGAGCGAUAGUGAACCAGUACCGUGAGGGAAAGGUGAAAAGAACCGCGGGAGCGGAGUGAAAGAGAACCUGAAACCGUAUGCCUACAAGAAGUCAGAGCCCGUUAAGGGGUGAUGGCGUGCCUUUUGUAGAAUGAACCGGCGAGUUGCGACAGACUGCGAGGUUAAGGAGGAAAGACCGGAGCCGAAGCGAAAGCGAGUCUUAAGAGGGCGAAAGUAGGAUGUUGCAGACCCGAAACCGGGUGAUCUAGCCAUGAGCAGGUUGAAGUUGAGGUGAAACUCAAUGGAGGACCGAACCGACUACCGUUGAAAAGUUAGCGGAUGACUUGUGGCUAGGGGAGAAAUUCCAAUCGAACCCGGAGAUAGCUGGUUCUCCCCGAAAUAGCUUUAGGGCUAGCGUCGGAAAGAACCUUAGUGAAGGUAGAGCACUGAAUGUGUGAUGGCCCCAUCCCGGGGUACUGAAUACAAUCAAACUGCGAAUGUCAUUAAGGAUGUCCGGCAGUCAGACUGUGAGUGAUAAGGUCCAUGGUCAAGAGGGAAACAGCCCAGACCGCCAGUUAAGGUCCCAAAAUACAGGCUAAGUGGAAAAGGAUGUGGGGAUGCCCAGACAACUAGGAGGUUGGCUCAGAAGCAGCCAUCCUUUAAAGAGUGCGUAACAGCUCACUAGUCGAGUGACCCUGCGCCGAAAAUGUACCGGGGCUAAGCCUGAUACCGAAACUGCGGAUUGUAGGAAACUAUAGUGGUAGGGGAGCGUUGUAUACGAGCAGAAGCCGUACCGUGAGGAGCGGUGGAUUGUAUAGAAGUGAGAAUGCCGGUGUGAGUAGCGAGAUGUAGGUGAGAAUCCUACACACCGAAAGCCCAAGGAUUCCAGGGGAAGGUUCGUCCGCCCUGGGUAAGUCGGGACCUAACGCGAGGCCGAAAGGCGUAGUGGAUGGAAAGCAGGCGAAAGAUUCCUGCACCCGUAUAUGGAGCGAAGGAGUGACGGAGACGGAUAGUGUGACCCUCUUAAUGGAUUGAGGGCGAAGCGAAGCGGCUGGUUACCAGGCAAAUCCGGUAACCAUAAGGCUAGAGCGUGACAGGUAAGCGAAAUCUUCGGAAAGUAGCGAAGCACAUGAUGACGGCUUCCAGGAAAAGCUUCUGGCAAUGCAUAUGCGGCCCGUACCAAAACCGACACAGGUGGGCAGGGAGAGAAUCCCGAGGUGAGCGAGAGAACUGUUGCCAAGGAACUCGGCAAAAUGACUCCGUAAGUUAGCGAGAAGGAGUGCUUAAGCAAUUAAGCCGCAGUGAAGAGGCCCAAGCGACUGUUUAACUAAAACACAGCUCUCUGCGAAGUCGCAAGACGAAGUAUAGGGGGUGACACCUGCCCGGUGCUGGAAGGUUAAGAGGAUCUGUUAAGAGCGAUCUGAAGCAGUGAUCCGAAGCCCCAGUGAACGGCGGCCGUAACUAUAACGGUCCUAAGGUAGCGAAAUUCCUUGUCAGGUAAGUUCUGACCCGCACGAAAGGUGUAACGAUUUGGGCGCUGUCUCGGCAGCAGACUCGGUGAAAUCUUAGUACCUGUGAAAAUGCAGGUUACCCGCAACUAGACGGAAAGACCCCAUGGAGCUUUACUGCAGCCUGAUAUUGAAUUCUGGUCAUACAUGUACAGGAUAGGUGGGAGACAAAGAGACGUGCACGCCAGUGUACGAGGAGUCGACGUUGGGAUACCACUCUUGUGUGACCGGGGUUCUAACCUGGUAUCGAGAACAGGUACGGGGAGAGUGUCAGGUGGGCAGUUUGACUGGGGCGGUCGCCUCCCAAAGAGUAACGGAGGCGCCCAAAGGUACGCUCAGAUUGGAUGGAAACCAAUCGUCGAGUGCAAUUGCAGAAGCGUGCUUGACUGUGAGACAGACAAGUCGAACAGGGACGAAAGUCGGGAAUAGUGAUCCGGCGGUGCCGAAUGGAAGGGCCGUCGCUCAACGGAUAAAAGCUACCCUGG